GGGCUCUGGAGACAAGGGAGUAGGCGGUGGUGCGCCAGGGGCGGGCUCCCCCAGCCUGGCCACCAAUCCAGGGUCCCGCCGGGGAUGCGAGGGGCGGGGCUGACGUGGGGCGCCAAGGCUUAAACGUGACGGGCAGGAGGGCGUAAGGAGGAGUCCGGAGCAGGGAGCGGAGAGUGACAGGCGACGCUGUCCAAUAACAGGAGGGGUUGGGCUGCUUGAGCCAAUAGAAAGUCCGUAAGGCGGGACGAGGACUGCAGCAAGUUCGGUUGCGCGGAGACCGCAGCUGUUCCCUGUCAGUGGAGGCAGCGGCUGUAGAGGCGGUGGCGACGACUUGCGGCGGCAGCGAGGAGGUAGCACCUGCCUUCCGAGAGCUGACAGAACGCUGAGGGUAAGUCCUGGGCCUGGAUCCAGGUCAGUGGGAUGCAUGUGGGUCGCCUUCAGGAGCAUCUGCUGUAGAGCUUAGCAGCCUGGCUCGUCAGUUCCGGAGCACAAUAAAUAAAAAAGGGCCAAGCUCUGAUUUCUGGAAAAUAUAAGCCGUCUUUGUCUGUUCCCAACUCUCUUGCUUGUCUGGGUUUUCACGGGAAAGCAGUUGGCCAGCCUCAGCAGGAGGCCCUACUUCUGGAAGGGCCUCGCCUAUAGGGGGUGAGGGCUGGGCCCCCCCCCAGGUCCGCAAGAAGCAUCUGCAGGGCAGGGCGGCCUCUGAGAAGACCCCUUGAGUCAGUGUGGAGAGCAGGCCGCUGGGCUCAGGAAGUGGCUCUGUCCACUGGCUGGGAGAGCACUUGACCCGCGUGCCAGACAGUGACGCUCAGCCUUGGGAGUCACGGUGACGAAGGGCUGAAGGCUGACUUGUCCCUCCUUCCCCGACAUAGCUUGUUCUGUGUGCCAGUGCUGCCCUGUAAACCUCCUGUGCUAAGGUCUCCCCUCGCACAGGAAACUCUGCUGAUCGCGCUGAGCCCAGGGCAUCUCAGCCUGAAUGCCAAGCGAGGCGCUCGUGACCGGUGUCCACCCGAAGGUCCCGUCUGUCUCUGGCGGCUGGCUGGGGAGAGCGUCCCAGCUGGACAUGAUGCUGGCUCUGUCUCGUGUCCCGCCUGCAUUUCAGACACUGAUCCGCUCUUCCCUCCACCACAGGCAGGCCAGCUGCUACCCCCGGUUCACAGCCAGGUGCCCUGGGAACUGUGUGGCUCGGGGACAACUGCCCAGAGCUCAGGUCCAGUGCUCAGCAUGAGGACUCCUUUGUUUGGGGAUUUUUCUCGGGUGACCCCUCCGGAGCCAGAAGCCGUUUUCCUCUCCGAGAUGUUCCAUCGCCCUUGCUUGUCCCAGGUCUUGGGCCAGCAGUGGCCGUCUUCCACUCUGGGAGCCAGAGAAGCAGGAGGGGGGCUGGGAUGCCAAGGCCGCUCGCGUACGUUUCCACCAGCUGUAUGUGGAAUGGGGCCAGACUCCACAUGUGGCAGCUCCUCUCCUGACCGACAUCCGUCCCCGCCUGAGGCCUCGGGAAAAUUCCAUGAUGUGGCUGUGCUGAGUCAUGCUUAG
RNAcentral lists this long non-coding RNA (1530 nucleotides) under Sus scrofa (pig). RNAcentral's name for it is "lncRNA (ENSSSCG00070008119.1)". The record is from RNAcentral. Lineage: Eukaryota; Metazoa; Chordata; Mammalia; Artiodactyla; Suidae.